CCCUUAGAUGUUCGGGGCCGCACGCGCGCUACACUGAAGGAAUCAGCACGUCUUUCUCCUUGUCCGAAAGGUCUGGGUAACCCGCUGAACCUCCUUCGUGCUAGGGAUUGGGGCUUGUAAUUCUUCCCCAUGAACGAGGAAUUCCCAGUAAGCGCGAGUCAUAAGCUCGCGUUGAUUACGUCCCUGCCCUUUGUACACACCGCCCGUCGCUACUACCGAUUGGAUGGUUUAGUGAGAUCCUCGGAUUGGUCCCGGCGCGGCCUCUGGUCGUGCCGGAGUGCCGAAAAGAAUGUCGAACUUGAUCAUCUAGAGGAAGUAAAAGUCGUAACG
Molecule: ribosomal RNA, 330 nt
Filed under: uncultured eukaryote
Lineage: Eukaryota
Description: partial 18S ribosomal RNA
Rfam family: Eukaryotic small subunit ribosomal RNA
Source: RNAcentral